RNAcentral lists this long non-coding RNA (4804 nucleotides) under Nicotiana tabacum (common tobacco). Its description in RNAcentral is "long non-coding RNA (NTAB_LNC010561)". Lineage: Eukaryota; Viridiplantae; Streptophyta; Magnoliopsida; Solanales; Solanaceae. The record is from RNAcentral.
CUCAAGUCUCCAAGAUAAGAAGGCUACUUUCCUAAUUAGUCACUUAGGAAUCUUCGAACAUUACAUCUCCGUCUCCUUCAAGAAAGACCUUGUCCUCAAGGUCGUAGUUGAGCCACAAAUUCUGGAAAUCGGUGUUUGAUGUAGCUCCAAUCUUCCCAAGAAACUUCCUUUUCACUCAAGUUAGCCCAUUGAACCAAUACUUUUACCCCAACUCCAUUGUUGACCCUUAUCAUUUUUCUCUGAAGAAUGGCGACUGGUUGAAUCAAGACUUUUCCUUCCAUAUCGCAGAGGGAAGGUUGUUGUGCUAGAACGAUGGUGGAGCCUAUGCGACGUUUCGGCUGUGAGACAUGAAACACUGGGUGUAUUUGCGACUUGAGUGAAAGCUGCAAUCGGUAAGCUAUAGAUCUUAUUUUCUGUUCAAUCUUAUAUGGACCAUAGUAUUUGGCACACAAUUUCAUAUUUCUGCGCACAUCUAUAGAGGAUUGACGAUAAGGCUGUAGCUUUAGGUAAACUUGGUCCCCCACUUCUAGUAUUCUUUCUGAUCUUAGUCUAUCUGCAUAGAACUUCAUGCAAGCCUGUGCUUGUGUCAAGUUGUCCUUCAGUGUUUGUAGCAUGUGUUAACGCUGAGCCACGCUCACUUCUGCUGGUGAUUGGCUUGUGUUAGGCAAGGAUCCUGUAGGUAAUUGUGGUGGUGGAUAACCAUACAGUGCUUGAAAAUGGGUGAUUUUCAAUGCACUAUGAUAGUUGGUGUUAUACCACUAUUCCGCCAAAUGAAGCCAUUUGGUCCAUAGCUUAGGAUUAUCAAAUACCAUCACUCGUAGAUAAGUUUCCAUGCACCUGUUUAGCCUUUCAGUCUGCCCAUCUGAUUGUGGAUGAUAUGUUGUACUCACGUUCAAUUUGGUGCCCAUAGUCUUGAAAAGAUGUUGCCAGAAAUGGCUAGUGAAUAUAGGAUACCUAUCAGACACUAUUGUUUUAGGUAACCCAUGUAAUCUGUAGACUUCCUUGAGAAAUAGAUCUGCAACCUCUUGAGCUAAAAAUGGGUGUUUAAUGGCCAAGAAAUGACCAUACUUGGUGAACCUAUCAAUCACCAGUAACGCUGCAUUUUUACCCCUAGAAUUGGAUAAUCCUUCCACGAAAUCCAUGGAUAUGUCUUGCCAUGCCUGGUCCUGAAUUGGCAGUGGCUGAAGCAAGCCUGGUGAGUGGACAUUUUCAGAUUUAACUCGUUGACAGACAUCACACUCCUCCACCCAUUUACACACUUCUUUUUCAUAUUUGGCCAAUAAAACAGAAGUUGUAAUCUCUUGUAAGUACCUUGCUGCCCUGAGUGUCCACCAAUAGCAGAAUGAUGCAUAGUUUGUAGAAUCUUUUCCCUUAGAUUAGCAAUCUUUCCUACAUAGAUCUUCUAUUUGUAUCUAAUGACUCCUUGGUGCAAAGUAUAGUCCUCCUUGUUGUUAAGAUUGACGGUUAACUCUCCUAGUAGUUGUAAUGCUAUAGGAUCCCCUCAUAACUAUCAACAAUAUCAUGCAGCCAAGUAGCCUGUGGGCUGGAUAUAGCUAAUAGAGUAGAUUCAUCUUCUUGUCUCCUUGAGAGAGCAUCUGCCACCCUGUUCUCACUGCCCUUCUUGUAUUGAACCUCAUAGUCAAGGCCCAUAAGUUUGGUUAACCCUUUUUGUUGUAAGGUUGUAGUUACCUUUUGCUCCAGUAGGUAUUUCAAGCUUUGAUGAUCAGUCUUAACAAUAAAGUGACCCCCUUGUAAGUAAUGCCUCCACCUAUCUACAGCUGAUAGAACUGCCAUAUACUCUUUUUCAUAAGUAGGCAAUCCCCUGUGCUUGAGUGCUAAUGCUUUGUUGAAAAAAGCUAUAGGUCUGCCUCCCUGCAUCAAUACAGCACCCAUUCCAGUAGCACAUGCAUCAGUUUCUAUCACAAAAGGCUUGGUGAAAUCAGCCAAACCAAGCACUGGUAAUGUUGACAUAACUGUCUUUAAUUGCUGAAAUGAUGAUUCUGCUUCUUCAUUCCACUGAAAGGCAUUCUUCUUAAGCAGAUUAGUUAAUGGUCUGCUUAUGAUUCCAUAAAAUUUAACAAAUCUCCUAUAGUAUCUAGUCAAUCCUACGAAUCCCCUUAAGGCCUUCACAGAUUUAGGUACAGGCCAAUUUACUAUUGCUUCAAUUUUAGCAGGGUUAGUAGAAACCUAUUUACCUGAGAUAAUGUUUCCCAAGUAUUCCACCUUAUCCUGUCCAAAAGCACAUUUAGACAUCUUCGCAUAAAGUUUCUCCUUCUGUAUAAUCUCUAGUACUUUUCUGAGAUGUAAUACAUGAGUCUCCAUUGAAGAACUGUAAACUAAUAUAUCAUCAAAAAAUACCAAUACAAACUUCUUUUAGAAGGGUAUAAACACAUGAUUCAUGAGGCUUUGGAAAGUGGCUGGGGCAUUGGUCAAGCCAAAGGGCAUGGCCCUAAAUUCGUAGUGUCCUAGAUGUGUUCUAAAGGCAGCUUUCUAUAUGUCUCCUUCCUUAAUUCUUAUUUGGUGAUAACCAGCUCUCAAGUCAAUUUUUGAAUAAAUGCAAGAACCAUUAAGCUCAUCCACAAGAUCAUCUACCAAGGGAAUUGGAAACUUAUCCUUAAUUGUCAUUUUGUUUAAUUCCCUAUAAUCAAUGCAAAAUCUCUAACAUCUUUUUUCUUAACUAACAAUACAAGGGAAGAGAAUGGGAAAUGGCUAGGUUGUAUAGUACCAUUAUUAAGCAUUUCACUAACUUGCUUUUCUAUCUCAUUCUUCUGAAAAUAAUUAUACAUGUAUGGUCUGAUACUGAUUGGUACUGCUUCAGGUUUAAGAGGAAUCUGAUGAUUAUGAGUUCUUCUUGGUGGCAGGCACUUUGGUUUAGCAAACACUCCUAGGAACUCAGAUAUAAUAUCUUGAAUCUUGUCAUGUAUGCUACCUGGUAAUUCUGUGGUUUGUACAUUAAUAGUGAACAAAUGUGCCCAUAGCACCUGUCCUUUCUUCAAUAAUUAUUUCACCCCAGUGGUUGUCAUACUCUGUAGUUUGCCUUCUUCAGAGUAUCCCUUCAAAUCUACCCUUUUUCCUUUCACACUCACUUGUAGUCUAUAUGCAAUAAAGUUAAAUAGAAUUGGAUUGUGUUUUCUCAUCCAAUCCAAUCCCAAGACUACAUCACAACCCCCAAUAUCUAAUAACCUCAGUUUGUGCUCAAAUUCAAUACCCUGAGUUUUCCACUUGAAUUGAGGGCAAGAGUGGUAACUCAUCAGGUUCCCUCCAUUUGCCAAAGCUACCCACAUUGGUACAGCUUCUUGGAUUGCACAUCCUAGUUGUUUGGCAAUGCUACUAGCUAUGAAGCUGUGAGUGCUGCCAAUAUCUGCUAAGAUCAUCAAUACUUGUUUCCUAUAUACUCCCUUCUGUUUGAUAGUUGUAAAAGUAAUAGUCUCUGACAAUUCAUUGAGACUAAUUGUCUCAUCUAUGAUAGCUUCUGAAUUCUUAACAGGAACUAUCUCAUUCUCCAUUUGAUCUUCUACCUCUAACUGCUCUUGUUCUGUUGUUCCUGACAGUAUGUUGAGUUAUUUAUUCUUGCAAACAUGCCCAGGGAAGUAUAUUUCCCCACACUUAUAGCAUUCUCCCCUAGCUUUUCUAGCUUCAAAGAGUUUAGUCACUGAGAUUGAAGUCUGAUGGUUAUUCUCCUUCUGUACAUAGAUAGAAGGUUUGCUCCAUGUAGUAUUAACAUAAGUACUUGGAUGAGGGUUUUGUCUUCCUCCAUACCAUUUCUUCCUAUUCAUUGACUCCAUUAAUUCUUCCUUGUGUCUAGAUUUUUCUACUACAUGACUUAAUGAAUAAAGAUCAAGCAUUUUAACAGUAUGUCUAAUCUAUUCCUUAAGCCCUUCUAUAAAAAAUCCCAGAAAAAACUCUUCAGGUAUGGUUGGAUGUUUAAUCAACACCCAUGCCUUCAAAUCUUCAAACCUCUCCAAAUAUUCAUUAACCGAUCCAUUUUGUUCUACCCUCUUAAACCUUCCUAGCAGAUUUAGAUUGCUAUUAUCAGCAUCAUUAAAUGUUUUACAGAUUUCCUCCACAAAUUCACCACAUCUAACAGUACCCCUACUCAAUUGAUAAGAAAAAUAUCAUGCCUCUGCUCUACCAUUCAAAUGCAGUACAACAGUCUCAAGUUUAUGUUGUGGAUCAAUUAUAUGAUUGUAAUGAAAAUACCUUUCGCAACCAAGCUUUUGGAUAUCCUUCUUCGAAGUAAGGGCAGUCGAUUUUGGAGUUGGAAUUGCUCGAGUGAAAUCGCCCCACAGGGAUUUCAUGAUUCUCCAUCAUUCUACCUCUACUACCAGAUCCUUCUAUUGUAUGAGCAGAUGUUGGAGCACUUCCCAAAAUUCCAUCCUUGCUUGUCCAUCAAAAGAUCGAAUUUGUGAUUCAGUUCAUCCAUUUUAGAGUCAUUCGACUCUAGCUUUUUACUAGUUUCUGCCAUGUAAUUUUGUAAUUGAUUAUCCAGUUUUUUGACACUUUCUUCUGUAACUUUGGAUCUGAUUUCUGGUGUUGUCAUGGUGCCAGGACUUGCUCUGAUACCAACUUAUAAUAGACUAGUAAUUAUCUUUCAAGAAAUGAACAGAAUUGAAGAAAUGAGAAUGAGGAACCCAAGCUUUAUUGAUCAACUGUCAAAGAAACAAUAUUACAAUGAAUCUACUAAAUUAAGUACAAUAGUUCCACCAUAGCUACUGAACAAUAGUACUUGAAAGAGAAGAAGAAGAAGAAGAAGAAGAGAAGUUGGUUAGAAAUUUACAGAGAGAAAGUAAAGAGAAGGAUAGGC